Molecule: ribosomal RNA, 119 nt
Filed under: Pteropus alecto (black flying fox)
Lineage: Eukaryota; Metazoa; Chordata; Mammalia; Chiroptera; Pteropodidae
Source: RNAcentral
GUCUACGGCCAUGCCACCCUAAACAAGCCCGAUCCCAUCUGAUCUCGGAAGCUAAGCAGGGUCGGGCCUGGUUAGUGCUUGGAUGGGAGACCACCUAGUUAGACCAGGUGCUAUAGGUG